UUGGUUUGUUUCCGGUGGUUGGCUCUCUGCUUUUAGCAACAACUUCCACCUGGCAUACCUCUUCAGUUAUGCAUCAAGGAUGUUAUUCCUUGAGCGGUUUUGGUUUCCUGUGUUUCUUACCUUUUUGAUGGUAUUGUUUGGUUACAUGAUUGUCUUUUUUCAUCACGCGUUGUAUGUGUGGCGUGGGAUGAACCUCAAUGCAAUUUCUAUGAUCCAACUUAAUGCACAUGCGUUGAUGUUGUGGCUCAUUGAUUGUUUUGCUUGGUUUAAUGGAUAUAGUACAUGAUAUGGGCAAGGAUUUUAUGAUCCUUUUUGCCCUUGUUGAACGUUGUUAUUUCUUUAAGGCGACCGCCUAGCCCGAAUUGGCUCGUACCACCGGGUGGGUUAUGUUGUUGAAAAGUGAUGAUUGCGUUCUUGCUUAUCUAAAACGAAGAGUCUAUCCUGCAUUGGCUUGUGCCGGUAGGUGGGCUUAUUUCGAAGUGGAAUGUUACCUGGUUGAUCCUGCCAGUAGUCAUAUGCUUGUCUCAA
This 528-nucleotide unclassified non-coding RNA is filed under the name Duhaldea rubricaulis. Its description in RNAcentral is "contains 3 external transcribed spacer, ETS". Lineage: Eukaryota; Viridiplantae; Streptophyta; Magnoliopsida; Asterales; Asteraceae. The record is from RNAcentral.